Molecule: unclassified non-coding RNA, 166 nt
Filed under: rhizosphere metagenome
Description: partial ribosomal RNA internal transcribed spacer region
Source: RNAcentral
UAGAGUUUGUGGGCUUUGCCCGCUACCUCUUACCCAUGUCUUUUGAGUACUUACGUUUCCUCGGCGGGUUCGCCCGCCGACUGGACAAAAUUAAACCCUUUGUAAUUGAAAUCAGCGUCUGAAAAACAUAAUAGUUACAACUUUCAACAACGGAUCUCUUGGUUCU